GGAGGGAGGGAGGACGGGACACAGACAGACAGAGAGAGAAAGAGAGACGCCUCUAUCCUCCGCCAGCACUCCACUGGAUUUAGUGCAUUUGGACGGACGCGAUCUCCCGGUACCUGCAGCCGUGCGCGCGCGGAUCGGGAUACGGAGCACGCGGCCGUGGGUUUAUUACACCCGCAGCUUCACCUCCAUCCUUUCUGUCGCAGCGGGAUCCGAUCGGUGACGUUAUUUAAUCGACUGGGGAAAUAUAUUUACAUCCGGGAUCCGGGGGACUGUAUGAAAACGGGGGUUUAUUCCCGACUCCUCUGAACGCUGGAUGUGUAUGCGCCUAUACCGCUGAUGCCACGGUAAGGACCCACUCUCUAUUCCUGCACAUAUUCUCUUUUUAGGGGG
This is a long non-coding RNA of Gasterosteus aculeatus aculeatus (three-spined stickleback), 390 nucleotides long. The record is from Ensembl. Lineage: Eukaryota; Metazoa; Chordata; Actinopteri; Perciformes; Gasterosteidae.